CUGGCGGCGUGCCUAAUACAUGCAAGUCGAACGCACUCUCGUUUAGAUUGAAGGAGCUUGCUCCUGAUUGAUAAACAUUUGAGUGAGUGACGGACGGGUGAGUAACACGUGGGUAACCUGCCCUAAAGUGGGGGAUAACAUUUGGAAACAGAUGCUAAUACCGCAUAAAACCUAACACCGCAUGGUGUAGGGUUGAAAGAUGGUUUCGGCUAUCACUUUAGGAUGGACCCGCGGUGCAUUAGUUAGUUGGUGAGGUAAAGGCUCACCAAGACCGUGAUGCAUAGCCGACCUGAGAGGGUAAUCGGCCACACUGGGACUGAGACACGGCCCAGACUCCUACGGGAGGCAGCAGUAGGGAAUCUUCCACAAUGGACGAAAGUCUGAUGGAGCAACGCCGCGUGAGUGAAGAAGGUUUUCGGAUCGUAAAACUCUGUUGUUGGAGAAGAAUGUAUCUGAUAGUAACUGAUCAGGUAGUGACGGUAUCCAACCAGAAAGCCACGGCUAACUACGUG
Molecule: ribosomal RNA, 512 nt
Filed under: uncultured bacterium
Lineage: Bacteria
Description: bacterial SSU rRNA
Rfam family: Bacterial small subunit ribosomal RNA
Source: RNAcentral